GAUGAACGCUGGCGGCGUGCCUAAUACAUGCGAGUCGAGCGAACGGACGAGAAGCUUGCUUCUCUGAUGUUAGCGGCGGACGGGUGAGUAACACGUGGAUAACCUACCUAUAAGACUGGGAUAACUUCGGGAAACCGGAGCUAAUACCGGAUAAUAUUUUGAACCGCAUGGUUCAAAAGUGAAAGACGGUCUUGCUGUCACUUAUAGAUGGAUCCGCGCUGCAUUAGCUAGUUGGUAAGGUAACGGCUUACCAAGGCAACGAUGCAUAGCCGACCUGAGAGGGUGAUCGGCCACACUGGAACUGAGACCCGGUCCAGACUCCGACGGGAGGCAGCAGUAGGGAAUCUUCCGCAAUGGGCGAAAGCCUGACGGAGCAACGCCGCGUGAGUGAUGAAGGUCUUCGGAGCGGAAAACUCUGUUAUUAGGGAAGAACAUAUGUGUAAGUAACUGUGCACAUCGUGACGGUACCUAAUCAGAAAGCCACGGCUAACUACG
This 495-nucleotide ribosomal RNA is filed under the name uncultured bacterium. Its description in RNAcentral is "partial 16S ribosomal RNA". It matches the Rfam family "Bacterial small subunit ribosomal RNA", at positions 28 to 505 of the family's 1533-position model. The record is from RNAcentral.